CCCUUUGCGGAUAAGAUUGAAGACCCCUGACUUAAGCAAUAGUGUCUUCCUAUGCAUUCGGUCCCAGCUCAGCCUAUCAAACAGGCUUUGUUACCAGCGUUUGUUACCCUUCUGUGACGACCCUCUCGCAGCAUUUACUCCCAGAACCAUGGAUCCAGCCAGUCUGAGAGUUUCUCCUCCAGGUGGAGACGUUGGUGCAUCAGAAGAGGCCCAGAUCCCCAUAAAGCAUGCUGCCUCGCACUCCCUCCGCUCCCUACGGCUGCAAAUUUACUGGUGACCUUUGCAUUCCAUUUGGAACGAUCCAGCUUUUCUCUCUCUCUCUCACUCCCCCCCACCCUCACUUUGGAAAAUUCCACUGCCAUUGAGGUAGGCAGGAAAGCAACCAUCUAUGCAUAAGAGCUGGAGGGGGGGAAAAAUGGGGGGACUGAAAGAUUGCUUGUCUUUAGUGCUCUGAGCUGUGCAGAAGUGAGAGGAGCAACAGGCCUCCCAAUGAAGUUGUUCCAUAUUACAGUCCCUACAGGAUUUUGUGUGGGUUUUUUUUAGUAAUUGUUGCAGACAAAAAUUCUUGGUUUUGUUGCAGCUUGUUUUCUUCUAAAUUUGCAAUGCAGCUUGCAGUUUUUUGUGGAAAACUACCUGAAUUGUCGAAAUAGCAAUUGCAAAAAUUCUUUUGGCAGUGAUGUUUGUUGGUAAACGAGAGCCAUUAGCUGCACUCACGUUCGACGAACAUGAAUCGAAGAGGGCUGAAUGCACGCUGUGAUGACGUCACAUGAUUCAUCUUGGCCAAAGUCUGCAGAAAAUCUGUGGUUAUUUUGAAAAAAUGCAAGCUCCUCCGAAUAUUGCAGAGUUAGCUUGAUUUUGCGUUCAAAUUCAAACAAUUCAAAACAAAAAUAAAUCUCUAAAUAUGUAAAUAAAAGUCAAAGAAUAAACACAAACAUAAAACACAAAAACUCCAAAAAUAAAAUGCAAAACACAAAUUCCAAAAAAAGUUUGUUUUUUUUAAA
This is a long non-coding RNA of Ictalurus punctatus (channel catfish), 1001 nucleotides long. RefSeq lists it as uncharacterized. NCBI's taxonomy places the organism in Eukaryota, Metazoa, Chordata, Actinopteri, Siluriformes, Ictaluridae. The transcript has 2 exons. The record is from RefSeq and is a predicted model, not a curated record.